CCCUUAGAUGUCCUGGGCCGCACGCGCGCUACACUGAUGCAUGCAACGAGUUUAUAACCUUGGCCUGAAAGGUCUGGGUAAUCUUUUGAACGUGCAUCGUGAUGGGGAUAGAUUAUUGCAAUUGUUAAUCUUGAACGAGGAAUUCCUAGUAAACGCGAGUCAUCAGCUCGCAUUGAUUACGUCCCUGCCCUUUGUACACACCGCCCGUCGCACCUACCGAUUGAAUGGUUCGGUGAAGAUCUCGGACUUCGAUAUUUAUUCUUUAUUGAGUUUAUAUUGUGGGAAGUUAUCUAAACCUCAUCAUUUAGAGGAAGGUGAAGUCGUAACA
Molecule: ribosomal RNA, 328 nt
Filed under: uncultured eukaryote
Lineage: Eukaryota
Description: partial 18S ribosomal RNA
Rfam family: Eukaryotic small subunit ribosomal RNA
Source: RNAcentral